This 462-nucleotide ribosomal RNA is filed under the name uncultured bacterium. RNAcentral's name for it is "partial 16S ribosomal RNA". It matches the Rfam family "Bacterial small subunit ribosomal RNA", at positions 338 to 795 of the family's 1533-position model. The record is from RNAcentral.
CCUACGGGUGGCAGCAGUGAGGAAUAUUGGUCAAUGGGCUUACGCCUGAACCAGCCAAGUCGCGUGAGGGAAGACUGCCCUAUGGGUUGUAAACCUCUUUUGUCAGGGAGCAACGCCGGCUACGUGUAGCCGGACUGAGAGUACCUGAAGAAAAAGCAUCGGCUAACUCCGUGCCAGCAGCCGCGGUAAUACGGAGGGGGCAAGCGUUGUUCGGAAUGACUGGGCGUAAAGGGUGUGUAGGCGGUGUAGCAAGUUAGAAGUGAAAUACCUAGGGCUUAACUCAGGUGCUGCUUCUAAAACUGCUAUACUUGAGUGCAGUAGAGGAAAGUGGAAUUCCUAGUGUAGCGGUGGAAUGCGUAGAUAUUAGGAGGAACAUCAGUGGCGAAGGCGACUUUCUGGACUGUAACUGACGCUGAGGCACGAAAGUGUGGGGAGUAAACAGGAUUAGAUACCCGGGUAGUC